AUUGAACGCUGGCGGCAGGCUUAACACAUGCAAGUCGAGCGGGGUGAUGGUGCUUGCACUAUCACUUAGCGGCGGACGGGUGAGUAAUGCUUAGGAAUCUGCCUAUUAGUGGGGGACAACAUCUCGAAAGGGAUGCUAAUACCGCAUACGUCCUACGGGAGAAAGCAGGGGAUCACUUGUGACCUUGCGCUAAUAGAUGAGCCUAAGUCGGAUUAGCUAGUUGGUGGGGUAAAGGCCUACCAAGGCGACGAUCUGUAGCGGGUCUGAGAGGAUGAUGCGCCACACUGGGACUGAGAAACGGCCCAGACUCCGACGGGAGGCAGCAGUGGGGAAUAUUGGACAAAGGGGGGAACCCUGAUCCAGCCAUGCCGCGUGUGUGAAGAAGGCCUUAUGGUUGUAAAGCACUUUAAGCGAGGAGGAGGCUCUUUUGGUUAAUACCCAAGAUGAGUGGACGUUACUCGCAGAAUAAGCACCGGCUAACUCUGUGCCAGCCGCCGCCGUAA
Molecule: ribosomal RNA, 503 nt
Filed under: uncultured bacterium
Lineage: Bacteria
Description: partial 16S ribosomal RNA
Rfam family: Bacterial small subunit ribosomal RNA
Source: RNAcentral